AGUAAGUGCGAUUGUAUUUAGCGGCCGCCGUUCGAUCUUGUGUCAGCAGCCGUUAUGAUUCCAGCUCAAUAGCGUAUAUUAAAGCUGUUGCGGCUAAAAAGCUCGCCGUUGAACCUUGGGCAUGGUUGGCCGGUGCGCCUCACCGCGUGCACCGUCCCGUCCGGGCCUUUCCCUCUGUGGAACCCCAUACCCUUCACUGGGCGGACUGGGGAAACAGGAUAUUUACUUUGAAAAAAUUACAGUGCUCCAGGCAGGCCUAUGCUCGAAUACAUUAUCAUGGAAUAAUAAAAUAAGACGCGCGGUUUUAUUUUGUUGCUUUAUAUUACCGCCGUAAUGAUUAGUAUCCCCAGUCGGGGGCAUCAGUAUUCAACUGUCAGAGGUGAAAUUCUUGGAUCAGUUGAAGACUAACUACUGCGAAAGCAUUUGCCAAGGAUGUUUUCAUUAAUCAGGAACGAAAGUUAGGGGAUCGAGGACGAUCAGAUACCGUCGUAGUCUUAACCAUAAACUAUGCCGACUAGGGAUCGGACGGUGUUAUUCAUGACCCGUUCGGCACCUUACGAGAAAUCAAAGUGCUUGUCUCGCUGGAAAAAAAAAAAACACAAGGCUGAAACUUUAAAGAAAUUGACGGAAGGGCACCACCAGGGGUGGAGCCUGCGGCUUAAUUUGACUCAACACGGGGAAACUCACCAGGUCCAGACACAAUAAGGAUUGACAGAUUGAGAGCUCUUUCUUGAUUUUGUGGUGAUGUGCAUGAUCGUUCUUAGUUGUGGGUGACUUGUCUGCUUAAUUGCGAUAACGACGAGACUUAACUGCUAAAUAGCCGCAUGCUCAGCAGUGCGCUGCCUCCUAGAGGACUUUCGACUCAAGCCGAGUAGUCAGCAUUACAGUCUUGAUGCGUAGAUGUUCUGGCCGACGCGCGCUA
RNAcentral lists this ribosomal RNA (922 nucleotides) under uncultured fungus. RNAcentral's name for it is "bacterial SSU rRNA". It matches the Rfam family "Eukaryotic small subunit ribosomal RNA", at positions 512 to 1500 of the family's 1831-position model. The record is from RNAcentral. Lineage: Eukaryota; Fungi.